UACAGAGGUCCCAAGCGUUGUUCGGAUUCAUUGGGCGUAAAGGGUGCGUAGGCGGGUCUUUAAGUCAGGGGUGAAAUCCUGGAGCUCAACUCCAGAACUGCCUUUGAUACUGAAGAUCUUGAGUCCGGGAGAGGUGAGUGGAACUGCGGGUGUAGAGGUGAAAUUCGUAGAUAUUCGCAAGAACACCAGUGGCGAAGGCGGCUCACUGGCCCGGUACUGACGCUGAGGCACGAAAGCGUAGGGAGCAAACAGG
RNAcentral lists this ribosomal RNA (253 nucleotides) under uncultured bacterium. RNAcentral's name for it is "partial 16S ribosomal RNA". It matches the Rfam family "Bacterial small subunit ribosomal RNA", at positions 524 to 776 of the family's 1533-position model. The record is from RNAcentral.